CCCUUAGAUGUCCGGGGCCGCACGCGCGCUACAAUGGAUGAAUCAACGCGUCAUCCUGGCCCGAAAGGGUUGGGGAACCGCUGAACCUCAUCCGUGGUUGGGAUUGGGGUUUGUAAUUAUUCCCCAUGAGCUAGGAAUUCCCAGUAAGCGCGAGUCAUAAGCUCGCGCUGAUUACGUCCCUGCCCUUUGUACACACCGCCCGUCGCUACGACCGACUGUUUCUGUCAAUGAAGCUGUAGGAUUCGGCCCUGGCCGGGGCGCAAGCCCUGGCUACGUGGUUGGAGAUCAUAGUUUAGUUGAUACGAAAUACAGGACGUAAAAGUCGUAACA
RNAcentral lists this ribosomal RNA (330 nucleotides) under uncultured eukaryote. RNAcentral describes it as "partial 18S ribosomal RNA". It matches the Rfam family "Eukaryotic small subunit ribosomal RNA", at positions 1470 to 1796 of the family's 1831-position model. The record is from RNAcentral.